UACGAAGGGGGCUAGCGUUGUUCGGAAUCACUGGGCGUAAAGCGCACGUAGGCGGAUCUUUAAGUCAGGGGUGAAAUCCCGAGGCUCAACCUCGGAACUGCCUUUGAUACUGGGGAUCUCGAGUCCGGGAGAGGUGAGUGGAACUGCGAGUGUAGAGGUGAAAUUCGUAGAUAUUCGCAAGAACACCAGUGGCGAAGGCGGCUCACUGGCCCGGAACUGACGCUGAGGUGCGAAAGCGUGGGGGGCAAACAGG
RNAcentral lists this ribosomal RNA (253 nucleotides) under uncultured bacterium. Its description in RNAcentral is "partial 16S ribosomal RNA". It matches the Rfam family "Bacterial small subunit ribosomal RNA", at positions 524 to 776 of the family's 1533-position model. The record is from RNAcentral.